GCUUCGCUGACGAGUGGCGGACGGGUGAGUAAUGUCUGGGAAACUGCCUGAUGGAGGGGGAUAACUACUGGAAACGGUGGCUAAUACCGCAUAACGUCGCAAGACCAAAGAGGGGGACCUUCGGGCCUCUUGCCAUCAGAUGUGCCCAGAUGGGAUUAGCUAGUUGGUGAGGUAACGGCUCACCAAGGCGACGAUCCCUAGCUGGUCUGAGAGGAUGACCAGCCACACUGGAACUGAGACACGGUCCAGACUCCUACGGGAGGCAGCAGUGGGGAAUAUUGCACAAUGGGCGCAAGCCUGAUGCAGCCAUGCCGCGUGUAUGAAGAAGGCCUUCGGGUUGUAAAGUACUUUCAGCGGGGAGG
This 362-nucleotide ribosomal RNA is filed under the name Salmonella enterica subsp. enterica serovar Newport. RNAcentral's name for it is "bacterial SSU rRNA". It matches the Rfam family "Bacterial small subunit ribosomal RNA", at positions 82 to 447 of the family's 1533-position model. RNAcentral also lists the same sequence under 1 other name. The record is from RNAcentral. Lineage: Bacteria; Pseudomonadati; Pseudomonadota; Gammaproteobacteria; Enterobacterales; Enterobacteriaceae.